GACGAACGCUGGCGGCGUGCUUAACACAUGCAAGUCGAACGGUGAAUUUAUUUCGGUAAAUUCUUAGUGGCGAACGGGUGAGUAACGCGUGGGCAACCUGCCCUUCAGAUGGGGACAACAUCCCGAAAGGGGUGCUAAUACCGAAUACGAUCACGCUGCCGCAUGGCGGAGUGAUGAAAGAUGGCCUCUAUAUAUAAGCUAUCGCUGAAGGAUGGGCCUGCGUCUGAUUAGCUAGUUGGUGGGGUAACGGCCUACCAAGGCGAUGAUCAGUAGACGGUCUGCGAGGAUGAACGGCCACAUUGGGACUGAGGCACGGCCCAAACUACUACGGGAGGCAGCAGUGGGGAAUAUUCAGCAAUGGACGAAAGUCUGACGGAGCAACGCCGCGUGAGUGAUGAAGGUUUUCGGACUGUAAAACUCUGUUAUUUAGGACGAAAGUGCCUGUUGCAAAUAGUUGCAGGUAUUGACGGUACUGAACGAGGAAGCCACGGCUAACUACGUGCCAGCAGCCGCCGUAA
RNAcentral lists this ribosomal RNA (518 nucleotides) under uncultured bacterium. Its description in RNAcentral is "partial 16S ribosomal RNA". It matches the Rfam family "Bacterial small subunit ribosomal RNA", at positions 28 to 523 of the family's 1533-position model. The record is from RNAcentral.